GACGACACACAAACGACCCACAAAGAGAGUCAGUCACGAGACUGAAAACGUAACAAGCGAAGCAAAUUCUAAGAGAGCGAGGAUAGAGGUUAGGAAAAAAAAGAUACCUGAGAGAGAGAGAGGGGAAGGGGCAAGAGAGAAGGGAGGAAGGAGCGGCGGUGAGAAGAAAGAAAUGAACAGAGGGUCAAAGAGAGAUGGUUUUGUUUUGUGAGUUUGGUAACCAAACAAAGGAAAAAAGAGUACCGUUUUCCCUGUAGGCCCUUGACCGCGUUGAUCGCCGCUCAUCUUGCGAGGAGCAAAAAAAAAACCUUAAUGGAGCAAAAGCAUGUCUUGUGAGUAAAGGUAAAGUGUGAACUGGGAUGAUGCAGAAACCCAAGACAAAUUGGCGGGCCAGCUUUUGUCCUUCUAACACACCACGAGACAAUCAUUCAAACUAACCCAACAAAUAAAAUAAAAUUAUUCAUCUAAGAAACAAAUCUUUUUUUCUUCUAAGAAACAAAUCUAUCUAUGGAGACAAUACACACAAAGAAACAAAAUAUCUCUAGAGAUUCCUUUAUCUUUUCCUCUAUGGCUCUACCUUACUCAAAUUGGUGCAGAUUCUCUUAGUCUUUGUAGCAACUAGUCAUCGCUAUAGAUGGAGAUAAAUUUUUAGAUUUUGUAUGUUAAAUAUCAUGUUUUCCUUUUAAAAUUAGUAUUUGUUAUCGACAUUUACUUGAACAAUAGUUUUAGCAUUUUGCAUGUAUUUGUAUACAAUAUAGAACGUGCAUGUUGUUGAAGCAAAUGGAAAUCUCCUCAACAUUGCGAAAUGUGUGAUGAUUACCAAACCCAAACGAGGCAGUGUUUAAGAAAAUAGUUUAUAGACAAUACUUUUUCAGGAUUUUUAACAGGGAAAAAUUAGGAAAAUUUGGUUUUGCAUCUGUAUACGUUACUCGUGUAGUAAGUAAUAAAACAAUAAAUGCAUGGGUGAACUUAGUUAAGAAAAUUGAUUUCUCAACAUUAUGAGGAGCCGAGCCGCCGGCUUGAGAAGUAGUAGCCACGUGUUAUGCUGACGUGCCGUGCUCUAUAUGGCUGUGUCUCAUGCAUUUGACGUGAGUCGACCAAUCAGAAUUCCCUGACAGCUAAUCUUUCAGCUCUCAUAUUGACUCGAUCUUUUGUGCCUAAUUUCCGCGUAUAAUUCGUAUAUUUUUACACGGCGGGAUCAUAAAGCAUCCCUCAAUACAUUUUUCAACGAUAACAAUAUAGAGAACAAUGGGUCAGAUGUAAAUGGCCGAACAGCCCUCAACUUAUCCGUCGGCAGAACUGCGUUGUGGGUUUGUUUCCUUUUAAGAUUUUGAAAUGUCAAACUAAGAAUAAGAAGAAGAAGAAAAUAGAGAAUCUGUGAGAGUGAGAGAGGGAGUUUAUACGUCUCACCCCACGGGGGCAUUGUUAGCCACUUUUGAAUCUUCCAAACCAACUAAGACGUUUCAGUCAGUCUCAAUUUUUGUAUGGACCGUACCGAUAAUUUUAAAUAACUUAAAAGAAUGUAUAUAAUAUAUA
Molecule: long non-coding RNA, 1536 nt
Organism: Brassica oleracea var. oleracea
Lineage: Eukaryota; Viridiplantae; Streptophyta; Magnoliopsida; Brassicales; Brassicaceae
Exons: 3
Source: RefSeq, a predicted model, not a curated record